This 2435-nucleotide unclassified non-coding RNA is filed under the name Leishmania donovani. RNAcentral describes it as "gene:LdHU3.28.1880(CDS-product:haloacid_dehalogen ase-like_hydrolase-like_protein)". Lineage: Eukaryota; Euglenozoa; Kinetoplastea; Trypanosomatida; Trypanosomatidae. The record is from RNAcentral.
CUGCACACGGCUGUAUACUCCGUCAUCCUCCCUCCCUCUCUCCUUGUAACACCUCUUCCUCUCUCUGUCACGAAGAGAAAAGCACAGCUUGACGCCACAAGUGACAAGACGCACAACAGCACACAACAAAGUCGGCGCGCGUGCCAUUUUUCCGCACCAAGAAAGCCGCGCACACGCAGCCCAUCCGUGUUCGAGCUCCUCCUCUGCUGAGAGACUUUGUAGAACGCAAGAAUUCUGCCAUCAUUCCUUGCAUUCUUUUUUUUUGCUUGUUAUUUCGUUUAUUUUUGGAUUGCUCAUAUCUGUUCCCGCCUCUGCCUCUGCACCCUCCCUCUCCAUCGAUCCGGUGGUUCCUCACUGUGUUUUCUCCUGCCUUUCCUUUUCUUUCUACCUCUCUUUCUCUUCUCUGCCAUCUUCGUUGGUUCGGUUUGGCUUCUCUCUGUGAGCGUCUGUGCCUGAGAGAGUGCGCUAUCGGCUGCCCUCUCCUUCCGUCUACGCCUCGCUCGCUGUCUCUCUCUCUCCCCUUCGCUUCGCUUCUCUGCUUAACAUCUUCACGUUACUUCAUCCUUCUGUUUUUCUUUCCCCCUUCCCCUUCGGCCCGUCCGCAUCCCCCGCACCUCCGUUGCGCCUCUGCGGGUCUUCACGGUCUCUCGUAAGUGUUUUAUGUCGUUUUUGAUUGCGGCGGCCCCUCCCUCUCUCUCUCUCUCUCGCACUGCUCACAUCUGUGGCGUCUUUUAUUUCCUCUCGGGCGUUGCCUCAUCUUGCCAGGUAAAGAGCCCUUUUUAUGGGCGCGAGUAUUUUCCUCUUUCUUCCGUUCUCUUUCCGCCGCUGCUGCGCCCCGCCCCCUCCCCACCUCCCCACCGCCGCUUCGGUGGAACUCUGUCCAUCGGUGCGUCAUCGUCGCGCGUGACUACGGCUUCGCGUCGUUGUUCUUGAUUGCAUGCUGUCUCUUUCACGGCCUCUCGCCUUUGCUCUCUAGACCCCUCCCGUAAAGGUGGGCCCGCGCACUCAUGACCAGCCCGGACAGCAUGGUUGCUGCCAGUGUGUACGCACGUAGGCCAAAAGGGGUUCGGGUCCCAGCAGGUCUCAACCCGUACAAGCUUGUUGCGUGCGACAUGGAUGGCACGCUGCUCAACAGUAAGCACUCUAUCUCCGACUACACCCGCACCGUCCUGUCGCAGCUGCUGGCGCGUGGUGUGCACAUCAUCUUCGCCACGGGCCGCCCGUUCACGGAUGUCUAUCGCAUUAAGCGCCGCCUUAAUAUCUUCGCGGCCACGAAGCUCAUCCCGACGCCGGGUUUGCAGGUGGUCACGCCUGUAGAGCCCUCGCCGACCUCGCGCUACCCAUCCGGCUCGCCGAACAGCAGCUCUCACAGCGUCUUGCCGCCAACCCCGUCCUCGACCUGCUCGGGGACAGGAGCGAACGAGACGGAGAAGAUCGUCCCACGCUGCUUCGCUAUCACGUCUAACGGGGCAUGCAUCUACAACGAAGCGAACGAACGCAUCUACGAGCGCACCAUCGAUCCGCGCCUGGUGCAGGAGCUCUACUCGAUGUUCAUGGAUGACCCCGAGGUGAACAUCAACGUCUUCCGCGGCGUCGACGAGGCGGACCGGCAGCAGCAGGGAUACACAAACCCAAGUGACCAGCCGGACGACAAGGCCAGCGAGGAGUGGAUCUGCCGGUACCCGAGCGACCUCGAGGCAGCGCUCUACAAGGAGUCGCGAUUCACCUUUCGCGUUGUCUCUAACCUGGAAAAGACAUUCCCAGUGGACCGCGUGAGCGAGAUCUUCUUUCUCUGCUACAACCCCGAGAAGAGCUCUGUGGUGGAGUCCGACAUUAGCAAGCGAAUGAAGGAGCUGACGGAUGAGCUGAAGCUGGAGACGUCCGUUCGCGUGGCCCCGUCUGCGACGUACUGCCUCGACAUCGUUCCGUCCGACGUCAGUAAAGCGUCGGCUCUGCAGCAUGUUCUCGACAAGCUUGACUUGACGAUGAACGACUGCAUCGCCUUUGGUGACGGCCUCAACGACGUGGAGCUCCUGUCCUCGGUGGGGAAGGGGUUUAUCAUGGAGAACGGCAACCCACGAUUAAAGAAGAAGCUGCCGCACCUUGAGGUGAUUGGCCGGAAUGACGACGACGCCGUCGCCCGAAAGCUCAGCGAAAUCUUCGACAUCCGCGUGGAGCCUGGUGACAUUGAAAACCCCCUGAGCUCUUCUACGUGACGGAGUGAACCGGCGAAGACGCCGCACAGACAGGCAGAUAUUAGAGGCGCAGAGAUGAGAAAUGGCGGCGUGAGGGGGGGGCAGCAUAGGGUCUCUCCGUGAGCACGCCCCUUACCAUUCUCCUUCCCCUCUCGACGAACACGUGCUUGCAUCGGCAUCCCUGGCUCUGCUGGUCUGUUGUUUCCACUGCGUCUUUUUCCUUUCCCUUGAACUUCGCAG